This 422-nucleotide ribosomal RNA is filed under the name bacterium. RNAcentral's name for it is "partial 16S ribosomal RNA". It matches the Rfam family "Bacterial small subunit ribosomal RNA", at positions 355 to 776 of the family's 1533-position model. The record is from RNAcentral.
UGGGGAAUUUUGCACAAUGGGCGCAAGCCUGAUGCAGCGACGCCGCGUGAGGGAUGAAGGCCUUCGGGUUGUAAACCUUUUUCGCUCAUGGUCAAGCCGCAGCUUUGGGUUGUGGUGAGGGUAGUGGGUAAAGAAGCGCCGGCUAACUACGUGCCAGCAGCCGCGGUAAUACGUAGGGCGCGAGCGUUGUCCGGAAUUAUUGGGCGUAAAGGGCUUGUAGGCGGUUGGCCGCGUCUGCCGUGAAAUCCUCUGGCUUAACGGGGGGCGUGCGGUGGGGACGGGUUGACUUGAGUGCGGUAGGGGAGACUGGAAUUCCUGGUGUAGCGGUGGAAUGCGCAGAUAUCAGGAGGAACACCGGUGGCGAAGGCGGGUCUCUGGGCCGUUACUGACGCUGAGGAGCGAAAGCGUGGGGAGCGAACAGG